This 385-nucleotide ribosomal RNA is filed under the name Psychrobacter alimentarius. RNAcentral describes it as "bacterial SSU rRNA". It matches the Rfam family "Bacterial small subunit ribosomal RNA", at positions 30 to 414 of the family's 1533-position model. The record is from RNAcentral. Lineage: Bacteria; Pseudomonadati; Pseudomonadota; Gammaproteobacteria; Moraxellales; Moraxellaceae.
AUUGAACGCUGGCGGCAGGCUUAACACAUGCAAGUCGAGCGGUAACAUUUCUAGCUUGCUAGAAGAUGACGAGCGGCGGACGGGUGAGUAAUACUUAGGAAUCUACCUAGUAGUGGGGGAUAGCUCGGGGAAACUCGAAUUAAUACCGCAUACGACCUACGGGAGAAAGGGGGCAACUUGUUGCUCUCGCUAUUAGAUGAGCCUAAGUCGGAUUAGCUAGAUGGUGGGGUAAAGGCCUACCAUGGCGACGAUCUGUAGCUGGUCUGAGAGGAUGAUCAGCCACACCGGGACUGAGACACGGCCCGGACUCCUACGGGAGCAGCAGUGGGGAAUAUUGGACAAUGGGGGAAACCCUGAUCCAGCCAUGCCGCGUGUGUGAAGAAGG